UCUUGAUACUUUUGUUUUAUUUUUGAGACAGGAGUUCUGCUAUGUACUUCAGGUUGGCCUUGAGCUGACUAUGUAGCCCAAGCUGGCCCCUAACUCAUGGCAGUCUUCCUGCCUCAGCCUC
Molecule: microRNA precursor, 121 nt
Filed under: Chinchilla lanigera (long-tailed chinchilla)
Lineage: Eukaryota; Metazoa; Chordata; Mammalia; Rodentia; Chinchillidae
Description: miRNA (ENSCLAG00000021366.1)
Source: RNAcentral